UCCCUGGUGGUCCAGUGGUUAAGGAUCUGCCUUGCAAUGCAGGGGACACGGGUUUGAUUCCUGUUCGGAGAA
RNAcentral lists this transfer RNA (72 nucleotides) under Ovis aries (sheep). It matches the Rfam family "tRNA". Rfam says of the family: Transfer RNA (tRNA) molecules are approximately 80 nucleotides in length. Their secondary structure includes four short double-helical elements and three loops (D, anti-codon, and T loops). The record is from Rfam by way of RNAcentral. Lineage: Eukaryota; Metazoa; Chordata; Mammalia; Artiodactyla; Bovidae.